This 119-nucleotide non-coding RNA is filed under the name Bacillus sp. 349Y. RNAcentral's name for it is "ylbH". It matches the Rfam family "ylbH leader". Rfam says of the family: This family is a putative regulatory RNA structure that is found upstream of the ylbH gene in B. subtilis and related low GC Gram-positive bacteria. The record is from RNAcentral. Lineage: Bacteria; Bacillati; Bacillota; Bacilli; Caryophanales; Bacillaceae.
ACAUAAAAAGCCCUGCAGCAAUACUGCAGGGUCCUUCCAUAUCCAUUUCUGGAUCGAAGGCAAAGGGAGAGGAGAAACCGGAGGAAGAACUUAUGGGGAAUCGUAAGUCUUCUCCGCGG